GAUGAACGCUGGCGGCGUGCUUAACACAUGCAAGUCGAACGGAAAGGCCAGUGUUUGCACUGGUACUCGAGUGGCGAACGGGUGAGUAACACGUGGGUGAUCUGCCCUGUACUUCGGGAUAAGCUUGGGAAACUGGGUCUAAUACCGGAUAGGACAACUUUUUGGAUAUUGUUGUGGAUAGCUUUUGCGGUAUGGGAUGAGCUCGCGGCCUAUCAGCUUGUUGGUGGGGUAAUGGCCUACCAAGGCGUCGACGGGUAGCCGGCCUGAGAGGGUGUACGGCCACAUUGGGACUGAGAUACGGCCCAGACUCCUACGGGAGGCAGCAGUGGGGAAUAUUGCACAAUGGGCGCAAGCCUGAUGCAGCGACGCCGCGUGGGGGAUGAAGGCCUUCGGGUUGUAAACUCCUUUCGCUAGGGACGAAGCGGAAGUGACGGUACCUGGAGAAGAAGCACCGGCUAACUACGUG
RNAcentral lists this ribosomal RNA (466 nucleotides) under uncultured bacterium. Its description in RNAcentral is "partial 16S ribosomal RNA". It matches the Rfam family "Bacterial small subunit ribosomal RNA", at positions 28 to 507 of the family's 1533-position model. The record is from RNAcentral.